This 10215-nucleotide long non-coding RNA is filed under the name Zea mays. Its description in RNAcentral is "long non-coding RNA (ZMAY_LNC000896)". Lineage: Eukaryota; Viridiplantae; Streptophyta; Magnoliopsida; Poales; Poaceae. The record is from RNAcentral.
CAACUAGAAUCUCUUUGUGAUCCCUGCCGGGCAUUAAUUUGGCCAUUUCCUCGCGUAUAGCCCCUUGAUAUUCUACGACCCUUUCAUCGGUCGGGUUUGGGGAUGGCCGAUUUACGGACGAAGAGGAAGAGGGAGUACCACUGUCCGUUAAGAAUACUCCUUUCACGGAAGAAGGGGAUGGCUGGUUCACAGAAAAGGAUGCUAAUGGCGAGGGUUGAUUGACAGAGGAAGAGGAUGCUAAUGGCGAUGGUUGAUUGACAGAGGAAGAGGACGAGGGAGUCCCAAAAGAAAUGAAUCCUUCUGAAGAAGAAGGACUAUGAGAGUGUAGACUAGAAUUGCAAGACAAAAAAGACGAUGAACUGGUGCUACUGGCACUCCCUCCCGAAAGAUCACCCAUUUUAUUUCUGAUAUCCAACAUGAGAAGAUCUUCUGUCUAGAAUUAGUCGUUUUUUGCAUUUCUUUAUUUGGUUGGGAAAGGAAAGAAGAGAUCGCGAACCGCGCCCACACAAUCUCUUACACAGCAACACUGCUUGUCAAGUUAAGUAGCGACCUGCAUACAGGACCCCCUCGUGCCCCACCCCAAGGGCUGACUCUUCUUUCAUUACAUACGAUUUGUUUACUGAUCAAAUUUGAUUAAUGGAUGUCUCAGAAGACAGGCUUUCUCCGACAAGAAAGAUGAGAGGAACCGUGGAGUUGGACCAAUACGUUGGAAUAGAUAGCUCUGUUGCUUACUUUCAAGCUUUAGAUAGCUCUGUUUGUUACAAGCAAAGAAGAAAAAUAUAGCUUUAGUUUUACACCAGCUACGCCCUUCCCCAUUGCAACGUUGUUGGUUUUCGUUUUAUUUUUGGAUCCAUGCAAGCCAUUUCCUGUUGAUAGGAAGGCAGAGUAACAAGUUGAUUUCGAGUACCAUACCUCCUUUCGCGUUCACAGACAGAUCGGGGUCACACCUUACACUUGCGUCACCUGCCUGCCCUUCUCGGUUUAAUUGAAUAAGACCUAGGACCAAGGAUGCAUUUUUUGAAUGGAGUCUUCUCUCUAAAUAUUUCCGGGAAAUAUACCGGGUCAAACCUUCCGAGCUAACUGGACCCUACCCCUUUCAGAGAAUCAUUCCUCCCCCACUCUCUGCCCUUCUAAAAAGAAAAUGCAUUCCUUCGCACUGUGCUUGACUUUCGCUCUUAUAGCACUCUUUUCCUUAAUGCCUGUUGGCUCUAGCACUGUGCUCUUUGCUUCUAGUCUCGCUAGCUAUGAAACUUCCACUGAAAAAGAAGAAUUUCCACGCCCACCAACUGCAGAAGCUCAAUCAAUGGCCACUACCGACAAGGGGACAAUAGAGCUGCAUUGAACACGCAUCCAGCACCUCGAGUCACUACCAACCAGAAAACGAGCGAUAUAGGAGGUAGACUGCCCGCUCCACAACGAGUGAAGAGUGCCGUAGAGCUGAGACAUAUCCUUCCUGAAAGCCAAUCGAUCUGAUCUGUUGGAUAGUGCCUGAAAAGCUAUUCCUCGCUAGCGCUGUCUUGUCUGUUCCUGUUCUGGAUUGGGGCACGGGCUUUCUGUAGAUUGGGAAUUGCUGCUUCAACAAUAGGAGCACAGGGCUAACGCCUCUUUGUUUAGGUUUUAGAAAAGUAGAAAGGAGAAAAUUGGACUUUCAGAACUAAUAACUAUAUUCUUUGUCUGAUUUCUUUAAUUGUCCGAGUUCUCUCAUUAAUGAGUUGGCUCGGCCAUCAUCAAGUAGUGAAUCCCCUCUCGGGGAAGUCCCAUUUCUUUCUGAACGGGAGUCGGAGUUUCUACAAAUUGUAUUGGAAGUGGUAUUUGUAGAUUGUGUCAGUGUUUAGCCAAGAUGUCUCCCUUUGCGAAACGAAUCCAAGGGCGGAGUGUUAUCGCUUGCGUCGGUCCCACCCACCCUUGGGAGGGCCCGCCGGCCUUAUCCUUAUCCUUAUAGUGAUCUCGCUUUGAAAAGAGGACUUUCAUAACAAGUGGAGUCGUCUUGUGGGUAUCAACAAGAAAAACCCUUCUCACAUAAGAGCUCAAGAAUAGAUGCCUUGCCCGAGAACAGGGAUUUGAACCAUUGGACUUUUCUAGCUGUCCUGCCACUGGGUUCCAAGUUCGUACGUAGCUAGUCCAUUUCUAGCAGGAAUUGCAUUUUAUGACAUUGGCCCGUUCCUCAAUACAAUAGUUCCGUAGUGCCAGGUGGGAAGCAUCCUUCUUUGAAUAUGAUGAUGGGCUCCCCGGUUUCAAAGAUAAUAAACCUAUAGUUAUAUUACUUGCGUGUUGGUAAGGCGGCUAAGGUUCUUACGUAUCAUAGUUUAGUUCCUUGUUUGUCUAAGAGGAGUUCAUAUAGCCAGUCCAGUAUGGAACCAGAUCCGGAUAUCCGUACUUUUGGUGGUGCGGUUCAGAGCAGAGGAGAUCGGUGUAGGUUGACAAGAAAGUGCGCCGCUAGCUUUUGUGUGUUCACACAAGGUCAGAAGGAACCUCCGAGUGGAUCCAACAAAGAAUCGAUUCUAUGCCUUCUCUUUCAAAAUGGGAAGUAUUAUGAAGUUUAAGUCAUGUGCUGUAGUUAAUUCCCUUUGUCUUAAGUGAUCUAUUAGAGAGCUUCCCUGUGACCGCCCGAAGGGUAAGAAAGAGAUGCUCUGUGUAGCUAACCCCAAGUCUGGUAACCUUUGAAAAUAGGUUUCUGACGUCACUGCCUUUCAUGCCAAGCUUGACGCUCUUGCUCUUGCACAGGCGGCGGGUGGAUCAAUUUGUGUAAACGAUCGCUUUCUUUCUAUGUCUCCCAAUCGAUGCGGUACUGCCAAUCGUAGACUGGUGACCGGGGAAUGAGAGCUCCAUACACCAUGAUUCAUGGAGUCUUCCUCUCGUUUUUAGGUUGUUUGUGUAUAUACCCAACUGUAGGUCACCUAUGUGACCAAUCCUCACCAUUGGUUUCACAGCACUUAGUAAGCAUACGUUUGAAGACCGAGUUGGUUGAUUUGGUCUGUCCAUUCGCUCUAGGAGGGGCUCGACUUCCUUUGAGCUAUGAGAAAUGGGAGCGCCUUCUUCUUUUUUUUCAGGGAUCUCCUUGGCUACAAAGAGAGCUAUGGAGCCUAGAUGAAAGCUUGACAAGGCCUAUUUAGUGUAUUCGGCCACCCAACCACUCGCAGAAAGAAAGGGGCAUUCAAAACUUGACAGGGAUUCCUUCUCCUAGGGUUGCUCUGAGGUAACCGCUCGUCUUGAUGCUGGCAGUCAAGAAGGCAAAGAGUUGACUUCUACUUUUGAAGUGUAAGGAGUUGACCUUCCUUCACCUAUCUCGGAUUCUGCUACAGAUUGGAACAAUAGUUCACAUUCGCUUGGGAAUACCAAAUAGAAUGCAGUCGAGACAACCACAAGUAGAGGAACGACCGACACAGCUGGCAUGCCCCCGCAACCUUCGAUCCAUCUAUCUAAACAUCGUUCUACUACAGAACUGAGUUCAUCAUAGCAGCCAGCCUCGGUAAGGUUAACUAGCAACUUGACUCACUGCACUCGAAAAAGAUAGCAAAGCGACAAUCGGUCGGUAUGGGUGGAACCUAGUAUAGCUGCGCUUUCUUUUCUUCUUCUUGGUCUAGUCUAUCUACCCGUCUCUAAGUAAGCCCCUCACCUUCCCUUUUUGGAGUAGAGGUCAGAGGCUAGUGCGGGUAGCCCUGUCGGAAACUAGAAAGAAGAGGUUGAUGCACCUGCCCGGCGGUGGGUGGGUUCAGCUCGAUCAACUGGGAUAGGAGUUUUUUCUCUAUCUUGCUCCAUGGUGUUCAAGCAGUGCGUCCAGAAAGCUGUGAUUCAUGGGAGGGAGCAGCUUCAAUAGCUUUGGCUGUAAAAACUCUUGGUCUUGGAGCAUCAGUGUCAUCAGUUCACCCAAGAUCAGCACAGGACAAAUAACUACUAGGUUUGUGCCAGAAAAGCGUCUUGCGUGACGGGGAAAGAGUGGAAAAAGAAAGAGAUUCAUCAGCUAUGGAAUCUGACAGGUAUCGGUAUUGAACAGAGGGGGCUGUUCACAAAGCAUCCCAUGGUGCGCUCCGAGGAGGGGAAAAAAGAUACCACACACAAUUCUAAAACUCGAAAUUCGUUCCUAGAAAUCCGUGAAAUCAUUGUUCUGGGUCACCUUGGCUUUUGUGUUCCGUAGUGACUAGGGGAAGUUGCCCGGCUUGGUAUCUCUCCUACUUCUUGACCUUGCUUCUCACCAUUAGGGGAUAGAGUCUAGUAGUUCCUUCCAUGCCAAGGAAACUUCUAUCGAUUGGCGCCGUUGGUUGGAAAUUUGCAUAGCAUUCCCACGCCUCGUUCUUCAUCAGCUUGGUGCCGCUUCAAUUACGAGGUCUGUCAGCUUCCAUCUCCCGAUGUUGCUACUCGUAUCCAUUCCUCCCUGGAACCUGUUGCGAAGAGCUUGCAAAGGUGCCAAGGUUGCCUGAAUCGAAUCAAAUAAGAUCUCUGCCUUCUUGACUAGCUAUUCGUGCUGCUCCGCUAGCUGGUGACUUGUCUGUCCCCUCAUACAUACUUACUUAGGUCUAGACCCCUAUUCGCUGACCACCGGGCUCCAUCUUUCUAGUAGCAAGAAAAAGCCUAUACUACUUCUGAUUCCAUACGACGCAUACCUCUAGAGUGUAGCAGUGACUUCUUUCUCUCUCUAGUUUAGCAGUGACUUCUUUCUCUCUCGGUGAUCCCUUGGUUGGAUACUAUUUGCAUGUUGACUAGUGGGAAUUCCAGCUAUCCCUUUCCAACAACUAGACAAGUUCGGUGCAUCUAGACUUUCUUUUUUACCGAUAUACUGAACCUAUUCCUCUCAAGCCAACCGAUUCAAACUCGUAGAAUGACUUGACUUUCGAACAAGACUACGGCACUCCUUCCUCGAGAACUGCUUUCGCUUCCAGCUAUUUAAGGCAAGACAAGAGUGGAUCGGCUUUUCCUUGCUAUAGAGGAUUGAAGCUCUUUCCACACUGAAGAUCGGAUCCAUUCCAGCUUCACUUCAACCUUGCCAGCUCUAUUGCUGGGAUUCCAGAAGUUAUAUUAAUGGAUUUGCCACCUGGCUCGCUUCAAUGGAUGAGUCGGGCUAGGGUGAUGACUCGGGCUCGGGAGUUUCCAGUGAAGGAAAAGUCUCGUAUUUCUUGAUCUAGUUCCUACCAUUUCUGAUCCGGAUCUAGCUAGAUGAGUAGUUAGUUUGGGAAACAAGGGUGCCGAGCUGAUGUGUUAUCAUAUCAUAUUUGAAAGGAAGUCAGCUAUUGAAUCAGCAACUAGUCUGGUGUUGAUACGCCGCGAUGCCUUUGCUUCACAAAAGACACAGUGAAAGAAGCCCACAUGCCCACUCUUCUUUCCCCCCUCACCUCAACCGUAUAGUAGAUGGGUUUGGGGGGCCUCGGUUUCCUAUGCCUACACCAGUGAAUUUCUUUUUCGUAGGUGAUCCCGCUCCCAAUCGCAGAUUUGAAUAAUCAAGUCGGUAUGGGGCUGCUGCCUUUUGUUACUCCGGAAAUAUUGGCUUCGCCUGUACAGAUUUUCUAGGGCCUGGGCGAUUUUUACCCGCUUCUCGGCGCUCGCCGUUUCAAGGUGAAGAUCCUCGUAAGUAGAGCGUAAUGUGCUCUCCCUAGGGUUCCUAUCUCGACAGGACCUUAGAACUGUUUUAAUUCUUUUCUUUAAGAACGAAAUGGAUGGUACUUCAGGUUGCGCCCCAUUUAUGGGCGGCUCUGACUCUUUGCCAUUGGCGUCUUGGCGGGACACUUUUUUCCGCUUAUCGUCAUCCUCAGAAUUAGGCAUAGCGGAAGCACUCGACGAGGCCUCUACGACAGCAUGGGCUCUUCCCCGUUUCUGGCCGGACAAUUCCAUAAAUACUAAAGUCAGAAGUAAGACCAAACCGAGAGUGAGUAGCAUAGACAAGGAUAGAUUUGUGAAUGAGACAUAGUACUCACCAAUAUUAAUAUUCAGAUCCAGAAUUGGGUGAAUUCCAAAUUGAUCCAGGGGGCUCUCUGCUGCAAAACCUGCAGCAUCAUCCACAUUCAUCAGGUCAACUCCUGCGGAACUCCCCGCCUCAUUUCCAUUCGCUAGGUCAACUCCUCCUGAGCUUCCCGCUGGGUUUCCUCCUCCAGGAAGAUCCGCGUCAUUCGACACUCCGUACUUGAAAGCUUCACUUUCUCUUCCAUGCGCCCUUAAAUCCUCGAGCUGCCCUUGCAAAAAUGCGAUAUUAUCGCUUUCUCCAUGCACACGUUCGGCGGCAGCCACAACUUCGGGGUGCUCCCCGUCCAUCCUCAUUAAUUCACUCAUUUGCUCCCUUAUACCGGCUUGAUAUUCCACCACCAUUUCAUCGGUCGGGUUCAGACCUGGGUGGUCCUCAUAAAUCCCAGUUGAACCCCCCGCCCCCGGAAUCGGAACACCAUUAGCAUUACUUGUAUUAGAUCCAUCAGUCAUCGUUCUAAUACUGACAGAACUUGCGAUUGUAUUAACAGAAGUCUCGGUUGAAUUGAGAGACGCCUCAUCAAAUCUAAAGAUAAGGCGCUCCCUUUCAUAAGAUUCGAAUGAGAACUGAUCGAAAUCUCGUACAUCGCGUGUCGGCAUAGGAAUUAUUUAUCUUUUUCAGCGCCUAUCUGCUCCCAAAAGAGAAAGGGAGACUUUGAGAUAGGAUAGGGGUUGGUUUUUCCAACGAAACGAAAAAAAGAACAUUCGAACAAAUAGACUUGAUUUCAUGACAAAACAAAAUGCUAGUUCUAACGAACAGCGUUUGUCCCAUCGACUUUACUUUGGCCAAUGAUACUACUACUACUAUAUACUAUAUACUAUAUACUAUAUACUAUAUACUAUACGCGUUUUCUGAGGAGCAACAUGAGACUUGAUUUUCCUAUAGUCUGGCUACUAUACUAUACUAUAAAACCCUGGGCCAUGUUUCCCGAGAGAGACUGCCUUCUCUCAGGCCAGCAGUCUUAUACUUAUAGUCGACUGCUCUAUGACGAUCUGACCUCUUUCCUGGGCUCUGCUCGCUCGUCUACGCUCCGACCAAUUCAGUCAAAAUCGAAAAAACGAUGUUUCGUCUAAGAAUAAGAAAUAGUAGUAGUAGUCAAAAAGUGCACUUUUUCCAUAUAUUUCGAGGGAUCCCUAUCUUUAUCUCUAUCCACAGAGAUACCUAUCUAUUCUAUUCUAUAUAUAGAGAGAUUUUUCUAAAAAUUGAUCUAGACUAUCCUCUCCUCUAUCUGGAUAGAUAUGUCCCUAUGAGCGACUAGGCCGAUCUUUUUUAUAUGUUUUGGCCACGUCCGUUUCCGCUCCGAAGAGGAAGGUUUGGAUCUUUCAAUCUUAUGUCGUGAGGGAUGUGACCUAUGUUAGGUCCAUAAGAUACCACAGCUUUUAGUGUUCUAUGAUUCACCUCCGAAUAAUGAGUAGGUAGUUCGAUCCUUUUGAUUCUUAUCUUCCUAGUAAUAGUAAACGGGGAUCCGGAGCAAUAGGUCGAAUUUCUAUAUAAUUUGUUUGUGUAAACAAAAGGGCUUAUUGCUCUUUUUCGGUUUUCGUUUUCCUCGAUAACUUUGAGGAUCUCCUCUACCCCUUCCUCUUCCUCCUUCCUUCUUUUCCAUAAGAAGAAGUAUUUGAAAUGAAACAAAUUCCUCUUCAUUCUGUUGUGCUCAGCGAAGGAACUGCCUAAGCAUACUUUUGCGGAUCCAAACUUCUUUGUUCUUUCUAAGUCUUCUUCUUGCAUAUAAGAACGCAACUCUUGCAAAAACCCGGAUUUUAGUAGUAAGCGGCAUCCCCUCUGAGUUGUGAGUAAGCGGAACCAUUCUGUUUUUGUUCUUCUCCAGAUUCUGACCGGUAGGAAUUUGCCUAUGAUUUUUCCAACUGAUAUGUCGAUAUAGAAAGAUCUCCUUAUUUCUUCACCGCGGGUUCUCGCGUCAUUUUCUUUAAAGAUAUUAGAUCACCAUGGGAAACUUUAAAAUGAGUAAUGGUUACCAGUCCAUUAUUCAAACAAACCCUUCGAUGACUUAUCGGCUGCCUUGCUUGAGGAAGAGUGUCACUAAAACGGAGACGAACCGGAAUCACGUCUGAUCUUGUUUCUUGAUUGAGUAAAAAAGGGAUAUAUGAAGUUCGUUCUCUUCCUCUGUGCAUCUCCCUUAUGGGUAAAUACCCAUAAUAAAGGGACAACUUUCGUGUAGUUUGUGAUUUGAUGUUACUGUUUAGAUUUUCUCUCUGAGAAAGAUUUCUUUUAAUGGAUCUCCUCUUGUUCCUCAAUCUUCGGAGAAUGCGGCGUUGGAUUAGAGAAAGUUCUCUGUUCCGAACAUUUCCUGGAAGUAGACGGCACGUUUUAAAUCUUAAUGCAGGCAUAUUUCGUUGAAUCAGUCUUUUACGCCACAUCGCGUAUAAAGGGAAUCGAACCCAACUCUUCCACGAACCCCCCACGAAUGGUCCUCCCUUAACUCAAUGAACUUUGAGAAUUCCUUUGCCUAGUUUUUUUCUUUUCAGUUCUCAUAAGUCCUUGAUAUACUAGCCUCAAUACUUGACCGACUGCGUCACAGUGCUCAGGUAAAGUGGCAGUGGUUGAAAGCGAGCAGAAACGUCAGUGUUUUCUGUGCGUUACGAUAGUAGUGGUGAAAGAAAAUCCAAUUCAAAUAUCUCAACGUAAAAGGAAAAUCGUUUCACUUUGAUUUGAAAAGAAAGACUCCAGCUAGCUAUAUGAGAUCGAACUUCUUCCAUCACUCUAUCUACGAUAUUCAUUGCACCAUGAUUGAAGGCCUACGCAUCUUCUUUCGGGUAUUUCUUAUUGGUUGACAUAAAUUAUAGACACCGUGGGGACGUCAUCUAGACAAAAAGGGAAACGAUUUAUGAUAGAUUACCAUCAAUCCCAUCUUAUGGUGUUACACCCAUGGACUAAAGAUACUAGUCUUCCUACAUUGCAUCUAUUGGGUUGAGAGAGGAUCUCCUUUCUCCUAAAAAUCCUCCUUGUCCAUGAUACUUACUUGCAAUCAAUUCAUAGUCUUCCCAAGUAGCUUCUAGGUUGGACCAAUGAAUGAGCACUUGUGGUACCGCUGCAUUUCUGGAAUGGCUACUGCCUACAUAACUUGUCUUCCUCUUUUCAAGGAAGUCAGUAUCAGACCAUAUGUAGUUCUCGUCUCGAGGGUCUUACUUCCUUUUUCCUGGACCCUGAUGAAAGAAAAGAGAUAAUUUAUUAGCCUUCUCACAUGGACAUAAAGACACGAGUUAAUCAUUCGCAUGCAGCGUCACAUAAACAACAAAUAACAAGCGCAUGCAGCCUCACAUAAACAACAAAUAACAACGCGCACAAGCUUAACACUCAUAUAUUUUUUUAGAUAAUAUGGACAUAAGAUUCCCCUCUUACCCCUAACUAACGAUUAUGCUGCUCUCGUCCUGUUUUUCCAUACUUCCCACAGCGCAAGAAAAAUAAAAACUAGAAAUAGGAACAAACCGAGACCGAGAGCGAGAGCGAGAGGGUGAAUGCCAAAUUGAUCCAAAGGACUCUCCGCUAAAUGCAUCGCAGCGAAAUUUGCCGCUAAAUUCUCAUUCGCUAGCUCAGCUAUUCCGUACUUGAAGGCUUCACUUUUAGUGCCAUUUGCUACUAAAUCCCGGAGCUGUGAUCGAAGAAAUCCUAUAUUAGCACUCCCCCCAUGUAUUCAUUCGGCUGCAACUAGAAUCUCUUGGUGAUCCCUGCCGGGCAUUAAUUUGGCCAUUUCCUCGCGUAUAGCCCCUUGAUAUUCUACGACCCUUUCAUCGGUCGGGUUUGGGGAUGGCCGAUUUACGGACGAAGAGGAAGAGGGAGUACCACUGUCCGUUAAGAAUACUCCUUUCACGGAAGAAGGGGAUGGCUGGUUCACAGAAAAGGAUGCUAAUGGCGAGGGUUGAUUGACAGAGGAAGAGGAUGCUAAUGGCGAUGGUUGAUUGACAGAGGAAGAGGACGAGGGAGUCCCAAAAGAAAUGAAUCCUUCUGAAGAAGAAGGACUAUGAGAGUGUAGACUAGAAUUGCAAGACAAAAAAUACGAUGAACUGGUGCUACUAGCACUCCCUCCCGAAAGAUCACCCAUUUUAUUUCUGAUAUCCAACAUGAGAAGAUCUUCUGGUCUAGAAUUAGUCGUUUUUUGCAUUUCUUUAUUUGGUUGGGAAAGGAAAGAAGAGAUCGCGAACCGCGCCCACACAAUCUCUUACACAGCAACACUGCUUGUCAAGUUAAGUAGCGACCUGCAUACAGGGGACCCCCUCGUGCCCCACCCCAAGGGCUGACUCUUCUUUCAU